This 4207-nucleotide long non-coding RNA is filed under the name Sus scrofa (pig). Its description in RNAcentral is "lncRNA (ENSSSCG00000054636.1)". The record is from RNAcentral. Lineage: Eukaryota; Metazoa; Chordata; Mammalia; Artiodactyla; Suidae.
AGGCACGGAGCCCAUCCUCUGCGCACGUCGCCACAGCUCGGUUUUCCGGCCCUCUCUCCGCGAGCCAGCACGCCUCCGCUCCGGAACUGCGCCCGGGGGACCGGGUCAUCCCGGGGCUCAAGGAAGCCAUUCACUGUUUCUCACCUAGACUUCGAUUCCGCGGGGUACGAAACAGCUUUCCCGGUCUCCCUGGAGACGGCUGUGCAUCAGCCUGACGUCAGGGCGCGAUGACGUCACAGCCUACGUCCCUCGCCAACGCGGAAGCCCGGUUCCCCAGCGCCCGCGCGGGACCGACGCCCCUGGCGGAAGCGGGAAUUCUUCUGGCGGGGGUCUGAGGAAGGGCUGGUAUUACGCUGGCUGUUGUAAGAGAGAGGCAAGGCGUGCGAAAGGCUAAGCGGGGGAGGGUGUGCUGGAGUCGUAGAUGUAAAGAGAUGUCCCCAGCCCUGCGGCGGGUCGGAGAAACGCUGGCUACGGUGAAGGCCGAAAUAGGUCUCACCCCUGGCUCUAGGGCCCUUUUGGUGGACACAGCAGGGAGCAAUUGUUCCUGAGCUGAGGGGGUGGAGAUGCCUGUAUAAGUCACAGGUGUAAAGGGAAGCUCUGGUCUUAGUCGUUACAGGAAGGGCUAGUUGAUUGGGAAAGUAUAAGUAAAAUUGUCUUCCUUGUUCAAGAGUAGUCAAGAUGAAAAGCUUAGUUCAAAAGAUAUCUUGAGACCCCUAGUCCACAAUUCGUUUACUUAUAAAAGGCUGCCCAUCCUUAAACGUGACUUACUCUCCUUCCUUCAUUCAAAAGAAAGUGUUUAUUGAUGGCUUACUAGGCAACAAGCACUGCCUACCAGGCUGUGGUGAUGCUCAGUGACUAACUCAGGCAGGGGUAGCCACUGUUAUGAUUUGCAGGCAAUUCAUUAAUGGCCAGGAUCUCUCCUUUUUGAGGAUUUCACUAAGUCUAACUCAAGAAAUAAAACAUUUACAGUUCGCUAGCAGGGAAAGAAACUCACUACUAUUGAAUGAAGUAAGGCUGAAUAAAUACAAAGAAAGUUAAACCUGUGAUGUAGAAAAGUGAUCAAAUGAUGCAGAGCAGUGCUGGAACAGUAGUCAAACUGCUCAUUGAUAGCUAUUAAUGAAAAUGACAGCACGGAGUACUGAACACUUCUAAAAGCCUUCUUCCAGAGUUCCCGUUGUGGCUCAGGAGGUUGAGAACCCGAUAUACUGUCCGUGAGGAUGUGGUUUGAUCCCUGGCCUUGAUCAGUAGGUUAAGGAUCCGGCAUUGCCAUAAGUGGUGGUGUAAAUGGCAGACAGUUCCACCAUAGGACAGAUGCAGCUCAGAUCCUGCAUUGCUAUGGCUGUGCUGUAGGCUGGCAGCUACAGCUCCGAUUCAACCCCUAACUUCCAUAUGCUACAGGUGUGGCUGUAAAAAGAAAAAAUAAUAAAAUUAAAGUAAAAUAAAAUAAUAAAGCUUGUUCAUCCAAGUACUAAAAGUCUUGGAGAGAGACAGCCAAUGAAGUGGUGAAGAACAGCAAGUUUAUGAGAAAGGCAAAGAACUUUCGGAGCUGUUCAUCCUUAGUAUGUUUCUUUGAGGGACAAUGAAGGUAGGAUUGUUCUCAUUUUGUAACAAUGGGGGUUUAGAUAUAGAGCACACACAUACAAAAAACAGUUCAUCCAGAUCCAUUGUGUGCUUUAUCUGGACUAGGAAUUACACACCUAAAGUACCAUCACUCUUCUGAAGCUAGUCUGGCUAUAGUAUGUUUAUUAGUAUUAAUAAUGUUUAUUGAGUUCUUUGUGUAUAUAAGAAAACAUUUUAAGGAUGAGAGAAGAUCCAGCUGCAAGGCUGUAAUUCAUUAUUGUAUGAUCUCAUUUCACCUGUGUUUAUUCAUCUCCAUAUUGGUCUUGAGACCAGUUUUCCUUCCAUUGUAAAUGUCCCUUAGACCUUUACACUAAUAAGAUAGCCACAUGUGACUAUUUAAUUUGGCUAAAAUUAAUUAAAAUUUCAAAUUCCAUUCCUUUAUUGUACUAGCCACAUUUCAAGUGCUCAGUAGUCAUAUGUUGGUGCCACGUAACACAGUACAUACAUAGAACGUUCUCAGCAUCAAAGAACGUUCUAUUGAGCAGUGGUGAGCCUAGUAAGAAUUUGAAGGAUAAAGAGAAUUGAUAAAUUGUGAAUAAUAUCCCUUGUUAAAGACUAGCAGUGAGAAGUUCCCUUAAGGUGCAGUAGGUUAAGAAUGUGGCAUUGUUACUGCUGUGGCUCAGUGGCACAGGUUCAAUCCCUAGCCUGGGAACUUCCACAGGCAUGGCAAAAUAUUAAAAAAAAAAAAAAGAAAGAAAGAAAAAAAAGGAUUAGCAGUGAAAGUUUUAUUCCUGAAGACCACAGCACAGAUGAAUAGUUGUGAAUAGGGCAUUAUAACACAGGUCUUUUUUAAGAGUUAAAUCUAAUAUAUUUCAUCCCAUUGUCGAUGUGUGUUUUUUUUUUUCUUGGCUCUCAGUUGGUCUGUUUCCCUCACUCUCUGUCCAGAUUUCUUUUCUAAUACUUUUUUUUUCUAGUCCUUUUUCCCUAUCCCAUUAUUACCCAUACAGGAACUGAAGUAGAAUUUAAAACGUUCCCAUUAUUGGACAUACUGAAUAAAGCUUUGCCUUUAUUCUCUUAAAUUUUAAAUUAGCCACGUUUCACUUUAAUGUGACUUUUUAAAAUAAUCAAUGGUAACCAAAUUAAGUUCAUUUUAACCUCUCCUUCUGGCCCUUUAUUAUUCUUUUUCUCCUUUGAGUCAGGGACCCCUGAAAGAAAAAAAAUAUAUAUAUUCCUUAGUUUGGGGAGCAGAGUCUUUGUAAAGUGACUAAAUUCAGGCUUUCCAGAUCUUUGUGUUGUACUGUUGACAUUUAUGAGAGCACGAUGUCUGUGCUUCUAUUUCUGUUAUGGAUUUGAAUUUACCUAACGUAUUUAUCCAGCAAGGCAUUGUCAUUCAUCUUCUUCAUUCUGGUAAGUAGCAGUAUGCCAGCCCCUCUCCUUUCCUGGUCCCCACAUGAAAUGUUGGAGAAUAGGUACUUUGCAAGUCUGAUAUAACUAUCAGAAAGGCUACCCAAGAUUGCUCAAAGUGAGGUCAAAAACUGUACAAAGGGAGCAUGGCAACAUUAUAGUUAGCCCAACUUUAUUUUUAUCUUGUGAAUCAGAACACAGUACAACACUAUCUCCUUAAAAGUUUGAAUAAAAUGGUGGCAGCCGGGCCUCCCAAAUUGGAAGCAACAAAAUGGUUUUCACUGCUAUUUCUGGGUACCAUCCAAUGCAAAUGCAGAAUUUUUAAAAACUAACAUUUAUUGGGCUCUUUCUCUUUGCCAGGCAUUUCACACACGUCUCAUGUAUUGAAAACCCUUCCAAACAUAACUCAAUCAGAUCCUGGUUAUUGUUUACUCUCACCCAAAUAAUGGAAGUGGCCGAGGGCAUGAACCUUGUUGGGACACAUGAGCACUGAGGCAUCUUUGGACUGAAUGUGAGUGGAGGCAGAAGCACUUGGGCCUCUUGGAUUGUGUUAUUUGAAUCUGCCAGACAGAACCUAUGGGGCAUCUGCCUGCUAUGGAUUAGUAACAUGUGAAGACCCAAAAUUCUGGAAAUGAAACUUUGUCUUACACUUACUUUUUUCAUAGCUUUCCCACAUAGCUUUGUUUAAAACAAAACAAAAAAAGCUCAGCUACAAAUGACCAAUUUCUUUUUUUCUUCCUUUCUUUUUUCUUUCUUAGAACUGCACCCAUGGCUUAUGGAAGUUCCCAGGCUAGGGGUUGAACUACAGCUCCAGCCACAGCCACAACAAUGCCAAAUCCAAGCAACAUUUGAACCUAUGCUGCAGCUUGCAGCAACCCCAGAUCCUUGACCCACUGAUCCAAGGCUAGGGAUCGAACCUGCAUCCUCAUGGAUUCUAGUCAGGUUCUUAACCUGCUGAGCCACAAUGGGAACUCACCCACUUGCUUUUUGUACUUACCACAAUACCUGUUAUUCCCACCAAGAUGUGGGUAGGAUUUUCUUUCUGAAUACUGUUUUGUUUGUUUUUUACAGCUAAUCAAUUGUUAGACUUCUUUGUAAAGCUACUUUGUCUAUUUUGAACCCCAGAUAACUCUGGGCUAGAGGUGACUUGAGCACAAAAUAUUACUUGUAGACUUAUACUCUGUAUAUUUUUGAAUCCAUCACAUGUGCAGUGUAAACCUGAUUACCUAAUAAAAUGAAGGUU